Molecule: long non-coding RNA, 1199 nt
Organism: Oncorhynchus keta (chum salmon)
Lineage: Eukaryota; Metazoa; Chordata; Actinopteri; Salmoniformes; Salmonidae
Exons: 5
Source: RefSeq, a predicted model, not a curated record
UGUGUGUGGAUGAGUGAGAAGCGAUAUUUAAUCCAUUUUGAAUUAAAGCGGUUACUCAACUAAAUGUGAAAUAAGUCCAGGGGUAGGAGUACUUUCUGAAGGUACUGUAUAUUCUAGACAGAGGAAGGUACUGUAUAUUCUAGACACAGAGGAAGGUACUGUAUAUUCUAGACACAGAGGAAGGUACUGUAUAUUCUAGACACAGAGGAAGGUACUGUAUAUUCUAGACACAGAGGAAGGUACUGUAUAUUCUAGACACAGAGGAAGGUACUGUAUAUUCUAGACACAGAGGAAGGUACUGUAUAUUCUAGACACAGAGGAAGGUACUGUAUAUUCUAGACACAGAGGAAGGUACUGUAUAUUCUAGACACAGAGGAAGGUACUGUAUAUUCUAGACACAGAGGAAGGUACUGUAUAUUCUAGACACAGAGGAAGGUACUGUAUAUUCUAGACACAGAGGAAGGUACUGUAUAUUCUAGACACAGAGGAAGGUACUGUAUAUUCUAGACACAGAGGAAGGUACUGUAUAUUCUAGACACAGAGGAAGGUACUGUAUAUUCUAGACACAGAGGAAGGUACUGUAUAUUCUAGACACAGAGGAAGGUACUGUAUAUUCUAGACACAGAGGAAGGUACUGUAUAUUCUAGACACAGAGGAAGGUACUGUAUAUUCUAGACACAGAGGAAGGUACUGUAUAUUCUAGACACAGAGGAAGGUACUGUAUAUUCUAGACACAGAGGAAGGUACUGUAUAUUCUAGACACAGAGGAAGGUACUGUAUAUUCUAGACACAGAGGAAGGUACUGUAUAUUCUAGACACAGAGGAAGGUACUGUAUAUUCUAGACACAGAGGAAGGUACUGUAUAUUCUAGACAGAGGAAGGUACUGUAUAUUCUAGACAGAGGAAGGUACUGUAUAUUCUAGACAGAGGAAGGUACUGUAUAUUCUAGACAGAGGAAGGUACUGUAUAUUCUAGACAGAGGAAGGUACUGUAUAUUCUAGACAGAGGAAGGUACUGUAUAUUCUAGACAGAGGAAGGUACUGUAUAUUCUAGACGCGGAGGAAGGUACUGUAUAUUCUAGACGCGGAGGAAGGUACUGUAUAUUCUAGACGCGGAGGAAGGUACUGUAUAUUCUAGACGCGGAGGAAGGUACUGUAUAUUCUAGACGCGGAGGAAGGUACUGUAUAUUCUAGACGCGG